GGUCGCGACCAUACCACGUUGGAAACACCGGUUCUCGUCUGAUCACCGAAGUAUAGGAACAUCGGGUGCGGUUAGUACUUGCAUGGAUGACCGGUUGGUAAUGCCGGGUGUUGACGCCG
Molecule: ribosomal RNA, 119 nt
Filed under: Echinostoma caproni
Lineage: Eukaryota; Metazoa; Platyhelminthes; Trematoda; Plagiorchiida; Echinostomatidae
Source: RNAcentral